CGCCCUUGUUGAUGAGCUGAACCACAUUCUCUGUUUGGCCUUUGUACGCAGCUACGAGAAGGCGCUCUGAAAGUGCAGCGACCGCAUCUUGCUGGCUCAUGAAUUAGGAAAGAAAGGUUUUCAGGGAAGCGGUAGACAAGUUCCUUCAGCUCAACACGAAGUCACUGGCCCGGCCUGGCACCCAGAGGUGUUGGGGCAUUGAAAUCAGACACGGAUUUCAUUCCAACUGACUGCAUGCUGUAUGCCACAGGUAACAUCACAGAAAGAGACAAGCAGCAACUAGACAGUGUGUCCUCCUGCUAAAAGUACGUAACGUCGGUUGUGAAGUAGUCCUGUCCCUCUCACCCAGAAAAAGGGCCCGACUCUGACGAAGCUUUCAGGAAAUCUAACUACCAAGGUACAGGAAAUACAGAAACAGAAGAGCACGUUAAAUGACACCACAGCAUUAGAUCACACUUUGAGAAGCUCUGCUGUAAAAGACAAAAGACCUGAUUGCUUCAACAAAAACAGAAAAUUGCAAGGGGAAAAAUGAGAUGGAGAAGAAACGUAGAGAUUAAGAUUUAAGAGAUUUAUCACCCAAUGACUAUGACCUUUGGAUCCCAAUUUAAAAAACUUAA
Molecule: long non-coding RNA, 617 nt
Filed under: Pan troglodytes (chimpanzee)
Lineage: Eukaryota; Metazoa; Chordata; Mammalia; Primates; Hominidae
Description: long non-coding RNA NONPTRT015240
Source: RNAcentral